GAAUCCCGUUUGUGGCACGGACUCCCGUUGCUCUGUGAUACACUCUCAACGAGUCGAGUUGUUUGGGAAUGCAGCUCCAAAUGGGUGGUAAAUGCCAUCUAAAGCUAAAUAUUGGCGAGAGACCGAUAGCAAACAAGUACCGUGAGGGAAAGAUGAAAAGCACUUUGGAAAGAGAGUGAAACAGUACGUGAAAUUGUUGAAAGGGAAACGCUUGAAGUCAGUCAUGCCCUUUGGGAUUCAGCCUUGCUUCUGCUCGGUUUACUUCCCUUUGGGUGGGUCAACAUCAGUUUGGAUCGGAGGAGAAAGACUUGGGGAAGGUGGCAGCAUUCGUGCUGUGUUAUAGCCCCUUGUUGUAUACUUCGACUUGGACUGAGGACCGCAGCACGCCUUUGGCCGGGGUUCGCCCACGUACGUGCUUAGGAUGUUGGCAUAAUGGCUUUAAGCGACCCGUCUUGAAACACGGACCAAGGAGUCUAACAUGUGCGCGAGUGUUUGAGUGUUAAACUCAGGCGCGAAAUGAAAGUGAAAAGUUGGGAACACUUAUGUGUGCACCGACGCCCGGAGCUGACCUUCUGUGACGCAUCUGCGGUAGAGCGUAUAUGUUGGGACCCGAAAGAUGGUGAACUAUGCCUGAAUAGGGUGAAGCCAGAGGAAACUCUGGUGGAGGCUCGUAGCGAUUCUGACGUGCAAAUCGAUCGUCAAAUUUGGGUAUAGGGGCGAAAGACUAAUCGAACCAUCUAGUAGCUGGUUCCUGCC
Molecule: ribosomal RNA, 756 nt
Filed under: uncultured Sebacina
Lineage: Eukaryota; Fungi; Basidiomycota; Agaricomycetes; Sebacinales; Sebacinaceae
Description: partial 28S ribosomal RNA
Rfam family: Eukaryotic large subunit ribosomal RNA
Source: RNAcentral